GAUGAACGCUGGCGGCGUGCCUAAUACAUGCAAGUCGAGCGAACGGACGAGAAGCUUGCUUCUCUGAUGUUAGCGGCGGACGGGUGAGUAACACGUGGAUAACCUACCUAUAAGACUGGGAUAACUUCGGGAAACCGUAGCUAAUACCGGAUAAUAUUUUGAACCGCAUGGUUCAAAAGUGAAAGACGGUCUUGCUGUCACUUAUAGAUGGAUCCGCGCUGCGUUAGCUAGUUGGUAAGGUAACGGCUUACCAAGGCAACGAUGCAUAGCCGACCUGAGAGGGUGAUCGGCCACACUGGAACUGAGACACGGUCCAGACUCCUACGGGAGGCAGCAGUAGGGAAUCUUCCGCAAUGGGCGAAAGCCUGACGGAGCAACGCCGCGUGAGUGAUGAAGGUCUUCGGAUCGUAAAACUCUGUUAUUAGGGAAGAACAUAUGUGUAAGUAACUGUGCACAUCUUGACGGUACCUAAUCAGAAAGCCACGGCUAACUACGUG
This 497-nucleotide ribosomal RNA is filed under the name uncultured bacterium. RNAcentral describes it as "partial 16S ribosomal RNA". It matches the Rfam family "Bacterial small subunit ribosomal RNA", at positions 28 to 507 of the family's 1533-position model. The record is from RNAcentral.